GAUGGUUGUCGUCAGCUCGUGUCGUGAGAUGUUGGGUUAAGUCCCGCAACGAGCGCAACCCCUAUUGUUAGUUGCCAUCAUUCAGUUGGGCACUCUAGCGAGACUGCCGGUAAUAAACCGGAGGAAGGUGGGGAUGACGUCAAAUCAUCAUGCCCCUUAUGACCUGGGCUACACACGUGCUACAAUGGUUGGUACAACGAGUUGCGAGUCGGUGACGGCGAGCUAAUCUCUUAAAGCCAAUCUCAGUUCGGAUUGUAGGCUGCAACUCGCCUACAUGAAGUCGGAAUCGCUAGUAAUCGCGGAUCAGCACGCCGCGGUGAAUACGUUCCCGGGCCUU
RNAcentral lists this ribosomal RNA (337 nucleotides) under uncultured Streptococcus sp. Its description in RNAcentral is "bacterial SSU rRNA". It matches the Rfam family "Bacterial small subunit ribosomal RNA", at positions 1044 to 1382 of the family's 1533-position model. Lineage: Bacteria; Bacillati; Bacillota; Bacilli; Lactobacillales; Streptococcaceae. The record is from RNAcentral.